UCUCCAUCAAAGCAACAAUAUCAGAUUCAUCUUUCUCUUUUUUUCACUUUGCUCAGACUUGAGUUUUGAAUCAAUUCAGGUUUGUCAAUUGAUUUUUUAUAUGCGUUUAAACAUUAGACAAACAACUUUCUCUCUACGACUCUAUCUCUUCCUUGUACAGAAAGUCAUACUAACUAUUGAUUUGUUCAAUGAUUGCAGGAAGAUGACUUCGAAUCGAAUAAGACACUAGCCAGGAGGAGCAUCAAAAGUAAGAAAAAAGAAGAGACAAGAGAAAUUAACAAAAUCAAUGGAAAACUCGAUGUUGAGAAACUUGUGAAGAUGAAAUUGGUGAACAUGGUGAUGAACACGAGUGUGGAGAGAAAAAGAAUGAGAAUGCGAAUGAGAGUGAUAUGGAGAUUGAAACUGAGAUUGAGAGUGAUAAUGGGAAUGAUGAGAAACUUGAUUAUAAAAGCUUGAUGAAUGAGUUUGCAGGAAGAAAUGCAUUGAGAAUUGUUAGAUUUGAAGAA
Molecule: long non-coding RNA, 506 nt
Organism: Arabidopsis lyrata subsp. lyrata
Lineage: Eukaryota; Viridiplantae; Streptophyta; Magnoliopsida; Brassicales; Brassicaceae
Exons: 2
Source: RefSeq, a predicted model, not a curated record